GAGUUUGAUCCUGGCUCAGGACGAACGCUGGCGGCGUGCCUAAUACAUGCAAGUCGAGCGAGCGGAACUAACAGAUUUACUUCGGUAAUGACGUUAGGAAAGCGAGCGGCGGAUGGGUGAGUAACACGUGGGGAACCUGCCCCAUAGUCUGGGAUACCACUUGGAAACAGGUGCUAAUACCGGAUAAGAAAGCAGAUCGCAUGAUCAGCUUUUAAAAGGCGGCGUAAGCUGUCGCUAUGGGAUGGCCCCGCGGUGCAUUAGCUAGUUGGUAAGGUAAAGGCUUACCAAGGCGAUGAUGCAUAGCCGAGUUGAGAGACUGAUCGGCCACAUUGGGACUGAGACACGGCCCAAACUCCUACGGGAGGCAGCAGUAGGGAAUCUUCCACAAUGGACGCAAGUCUGAUGGAGCAACGCCGCGUGAGUGAAGAAGGUUUUCGGAUCGUAAAGCUCUGUUGUUGGUGAAGAAGGAUAGAGGUAGUAACUGGCCUUUAUUUGACGGUAAUCAACCAGAAAGUCACGGCUAACUACGUGCCAGCAGCCGCGGUAAUACGUAGGUGGCAAGCGUUGUCCGGAUUUAUUGGGCGUAAAGCGAGCGCAGGCGGAAUGAUAAGUCUGAUGUGAAAGCCCACGGCUCAACCGUGGAACUGCAUCGG
RNAcentral lists this ribosomal RNA (653 nucleotides) under uncultured bacterium. RNAcentral describes it as "bacterial SSU rRNA". It matches the Rfam family "Bacterial small subunit ribosomal RNA", at positions 9 to 629 of the family's 1533-position model. The record is from RNAcentral.